AAAAAGUCAGCGAAAGAAAAGAGUAAAUAUCAUGUUCGACUUUCAAGAGAGAGCUACCCUAGGCUGAAAGUAGCUUAAGCAAGUGAUAUUGAAGAACAGUCUGGAGAUGAGUAGUAAAAAGCUAUUCCGUGUACGAGCGUUAAUCGUUUGAAGGGUGUAAAGUUUUGAUUUUACACUGAAAAUAGGUGGCACCACGAUGAUUCGUCCUUGUA
This 212-nucleotide non-coding RNA is filed under the name Enterococcus cecorum. Its description in RNAcentral is "T-box sequence". It matches the Rfam family "T-box leader". From Rfam's summary of the family: Uncharged tRNA acts as the effector for transcription antitermination of genes in the T-box leader family. Lineage: Bacteria; Bacillati; Bacillota; Bacilli; Lactobacillales; Enterococcaceae. The record is from RNAcentral.